GACGAACGCUGGCGGCGUGCUUAACACAUGCAAGUCGAACGGGAAGGCCCUGCUUUUGUGGGGUGCUCGAGUGGCGAACGGGUGAGUAACACGUGAGUAACCUGCCCUUGACUUUGGGAUAACUUCAGGAAACUGGGGCUAAUACCGGAUAGGAGCUCCUGCUGCAUGGUGGGGGUUGGAAAGUUUCGGCGGUUGGGGAUGGACUCGCGGCUUAUCAGCUUGUUGGUGGGGUAGUGGCUUACCAAGGCUUUGACGGGUAGCCGGCCUGAGAGGGUGACCGGCCACAUUGGGACUGAGAUACGGCCCAGACUCCUACGGGAGGCAGCAGUGGGAAAUAUUGCACAAUGGGCGGAAGCCUGAUGCAGCAACGCCGCGUGCGGGAUGACGGCCUUCGGGUUGUAAACCGCUUUCGCCUGUGACGAAGCGUGAGUGACGGUAAUGGGUAAAGAAGCACCGGCUAACUACGUG
This 468-nucleotide ribosomal RNA is filed under the name uncultured bacterium. RNAcentral describes it as "partial 16S ribosomal RNA". It matches the Rfam family "Bacterial small subunit ribosomal RNA", at positions 28 to 507 of the family's 1533-position model. The record is from RNAcentral.